This 69-nucleotide transfer RNA is filed under the name Rattus norvegicus (Norway rat). It matches the Rfam family "tRNA". From Rfam's summary of the family: Transfer RNA (tRNA) molecules are approximately 80 nucleotides in length. Their secondary structure includes four short double-helical elements and three loops (D, anti-codon, and T loops). Lineage: Eukaryota; Metazoa; Chordata; Mammalia; Rodentia; Muridae. The record is from Rfam by way of RNAcentral.
GGGGAUUUAGCUCAGUGGUAGAGCGCUUGCCUAGGAAGCGCAAGGCCCUGGGUUCGAACCCCAGCUCUG